This 423-nucleotide long non-coding RNA is filed under the name Dromaius novaehollandiae (emu). Its description in RNAcentral is "lncRNA (ENSDNVG00000006510.1)". The record is from RNAcentral. Lineage: Eukaryota; Metazoa; Chordata; Aves; Casuariiformes; Dromaiidae.
AUCCCAUCUUGGAGUGCUUCCUCAGAAAAGGCAGGAAGUGCUUUGAAAAAGCUGCCUUGUCUUGGCGCUGAAACUCUCUGAGACACAGUUCAAGUGCACAAGGAAAACUUGUUGAACGCUCCUGCCCUACCGCCUGGCUAGGAUCUUGUGCUUUAUUUACGGCUUUCCUUAUUACAUCAAGUCCAGGACGCAGCUCAUCUACGAUUCCACCUUCUCUAGGCAAGAGCUAAUAUUUUGACUCCUCAGACAUAUCGGCCCUACUUAGUCUCAGCACUGCUUGGCCAUGAAAUUCCAUAUGGAUUUUGGGAUAUUUCUCUGCACUUUUUAAGGCCCCUGAUGAUGACAAGAUUCAAGGCUACCCCAGUGUGGUAUUUCCUGCAUUGCUGUAGUGCCUGUACCAAUGACCUUUGCCAUAACAACUGA